This 254-nucleotide ribosomal RNA is filed under the name uncultured bacterium. RNAcentral's name for it is "partial 16S ribosomal RNA". It matches the Rfam family "Bacterial small subunit ribosomal RNA", at positions 524 to 776 of the family's 1533-position model. The record is from RNAcentral.
UACGAAGGUGGCAAGCGUUGUUCGGAUUUACUGGGCGUACAGGGAGCGUAGGCGGUUGGAUAAGCCCUCCGUGAAAUCUCCAGGCUUAACCUGGAAAGUGCAGAGGGGACUGUUCAGCUAGAGGAUGGGAGAGGAGCGCGGAAUUCCCGGUGUAGGCGGUGAAAUGCGUAGAGAUCGGGAGGAAGGCCGGUGGCGAAGGCGGCGCUCUGGACCGAUACUGACGCUGAGGCGCGAAAGCGUGGGGAGCAAACAGG